UACGUAGGGCGCAAGCGUUGUCCGGAAUUAUUGGGCGUAAAGAGCUCGUAGGCGGUUUGUCGCGUCUGCUGUGAAAUCCCGAGGCUCAACCUCGGGCCUGCAGUGGGUACGGGCAGACUUGAGUGCGGUAGGGGAGAAUGGAAUUCCUGGUGUAGCGGUGGAAUGCGCAGAUAUCAGGAGGAACACCGAUGGCGAAGGCAGUUCUCUGGGCCGUAACUGACGCUGAGGAGCGAAAGCGUGGGGAGCGAACAGG
This 253-nucleotide ribosomal RNA is filed under the name uncultured bacterium. RNAcentral describes it as "partial 16S ribosomal RNA". It matches the Rfam family "Bacterial small subunit ribosomal RNA", at positions 524 to 776 of the family's 1533-position model. The record is from RNAcentral.